UGGGACCCACAUGUCAGUUUUAGACAAAAUAAUAAAAAAUAGUGGGGCUCACAUGGGCCCCACAUGUCAUUCUCCCCCCGGGCUUCCUCCUCUCUCCCCAUCUCCCCUCUCUCUCACGCAAGGUUCGGCGGCUGGAGUAGAAGCACCACCUCGCCACGUCCGCUGGCGGCGGCGACGGCGAUGGCGACGCGCCCCUGCCGCCGACUUGUACUUGUUGCCAUGGCCGCACACAAUAAGCUCCUGCAUAUGCCUCCUUGCCGUGGCCGCCCAUGUGCAUCCGCAGGUUGUCGUCGCGCUUGAAGCCCUUGCUGCACACGCUGCAGAAGUGCACGUGCGGCGCCAGGAUCUUGUCCUUCUCGAUCCGGACCACCUAGUAGGAGCCUCGCGGCGGGAUGUGCUCACCGUCGGCAUCGGCGCCCUCGUCGACGUCGCUGCUAUCAUUAUAAGGAGAGACAAGCAACUAGACAAAGGGGAUAGUCAUCUUCGUCCGUGCCGGUGGAUAAAUGCGAGUUAUGGAAGAAGCUGUGGAAAAUUGAGUGUGCUCCAAAAGAGGGGGCUGGAGACUGAUACGAGAUGUCCUGUGUGCUUUCGUUUUGAUGAAGAUGGGGGUCACUGCUUUUUUAAGUUCAAGCUUGUCAAGAAUUGCUGGCGUCUGAUGAAUUUGGAACAAACUCGUCUCAGUUUGAAGAUGUUGGACUCAGGCAGGUCGGUGGUCGAACAUAUUCUGAAUUUGGAGGAAGGAAGGAGAUUACAAAUAGCUUGUCUGAUGUGGUGUUGGUGGGAUACCCGCAAUAAGGUAAAUGCAGGAGAGCAAGGUUCAUCAUCUACGGAAAUUGUUAGAAGAGCCAAUUUUAUGGCGUCUGCGCCUGCUGGUUUGAUGAGUGUAAGAACUCCCAGUCCGGAGGGUGUAUCAGCAGGAAGGAGUGUUUGGAAGUUUCCACAUGAGGAUGAGCUGAAACUGAAUGUUGAUGGAGCAUUCUACGAAGCAAGCAAUUCUGGAGGCUGGGGCUUUAUCCUGCGAAACCCCUUCGCGUUACAAGCAGCCGCUGAAUGGGGUGUGAGCCAGGUGGAAGUUGAGACGGACUCAAAAGUUCUGGUGACAGCAGUACAAUCCAGUUCUUAUGAUCAGGCGCCAGGAGGUAUUCUGUUCAAGUCGAUAAAAGAUGUAGUUCGCAGAGAUUUUGUCAAAGUUGUUUUCUCUCAUGUGCCUCGCCGAUGUAAUAGGUGUGCCCAAUGGGGUUUUAGUAGGGACCCGGGUCAAUCCUCCCCUCCUAGAUUUUGUUAA
This 1285-nucleotide long non-coding RNA is filed under the name Oryza sativa Indica Group (long-grained rice). RNAcentral's name for it is "lncRNA OsZS97_11G003850". Lineage: Eukaryota; Viridiplantae; Streptophyta; Magnoliopsida; Poales; Poaceae. The record is from RNAcentral.